GUAUUUACAACUUCUACUAGUGGCAGAGCUUUUGAGUCUAUUGAAAUCUUUGAACAAGACCCAUCUGUAAGGAAAGCUUUGAUAGUAUGCAGAGUAAUAGCUGGGAGAGUUCAUAAGCCUUUGGAUAAUAUACAAGAAAUAUCUGACCAAACAGGGUUUGAUUCAUUAGCAGGAAAAGUUGGUCUCUACUCAAAUAUUGAGGAGCUGUAUCUUCUAAAUCCCAGAGCUCUUCUUCCUUGCUUUGUGGUAAUCUGCAAAACCUGACCAGAAGACAGUAAAAGAAUCACUUACAAUUUGCUAUCAAGUUAUGUGAAUCCCUUUUUUAAUCUUUUGAUGAUAGAAAUUCUUCUCAAUCUUCUAUUUUGAAGAAAUUUGAUUCUUCCUCUUACAAUCUUUCUGCCCUUUUUUAGUGUAAUUGUUUCUGCCCUUAUUUACAGUUGCAUAAUUUCUUCAUUUUCUUGUCCAUUUUUAAGAUCAAUGAUGCAUAUAUUUCAAAUUAGAUUGCUGUUAUUUGCACAUAUAUAAACAUGGAGACCAUUCUUUUUUCUAAGUUGAAUAUGGUUAUCUGUAUUGGUGAAGAAAUUGAAAGUACAUGGAUUUUGUAGUAUAAUAAUAUGUAUAACUUCUGACAAGCUAGAGCAUCAAGGCACAAUGCAGAUGUAGGCAUCUCACUUCAGUUAUGAGCUGGCAAUACAAUUUGAAAAGUACUUGGAUACAGAGUUUGAUUUGAUUUACAUGCAAAAUAAUAGUUGAAAACUCCAAAGUUCUUCAACACAAGCAUCAUAAUCUAGACAAAACAAUUAAACAAAUCCAGCUGCUGAAUACUAUUUUAUAUUAAUUUCUGUCUCACUUGAAGACAAAAACAAAUAAUUAUAUGAAUCAUGCCCAGAAGUCACAUUUGAGAAACAGAGAAAGUUUAUAUACCUAGCUUGAUUCUACAUAGUUUUGAAUAUAAAUUCUUCAAUGUAAAUUUGUAUGAUUUGCUUCACAUGCUUGCAAGGCAUUAUUUGAUGUAUGUAAACUGGAAAGUUUGCAUGUGGGCUUUGUUGGAAGGUUAAGGUUGAAACAAAAGGCUAGUCCAAACCAAGAGGACAAUUAUGUGCUCACUAUAUAUGACUUUGAUUUUGUCAGUUCUGUUCCCAGUUUCGGUCACUAUUUGAAUUUAUGCUUGAAUAUCCUUGUUCUGUUUUUUGCCUUUUUUUUUCUUUUUUGGUUUGGUUUGGUUUGGUUUUUCCUCUGUAGCUUGACUCAAAAGCUCUGCCACUAGUAAAGAUUUCAUUGUAUGGCUUGUUUCAAUGUCUAGAUAGUUAGGUUUUUUCUGUAAUAAAGAUGGUUGUUUAUUGUGCAAAGAAAAGGGAGCUUGUCAUUCAUAUAGUAGACUAUAUGUCUAUAUCUCAUGUAUUGAAUAUGCGGAUAUUGUUUGAAAUUCAACGAUCUUUUCAUAUUCAUGAAAACAGUGUUUGUUUAGGGAGUGAAACAAAGGAAGAGAAGUGAUGUCAAAUGUAAGUUUGAUAGAUUUUUUAAAUCAUUAUUGUCUUGUAUGUUUAAUGAAUAUCAUCGACAAAGAAGUCAGAGAUUGAACUGAAUAAUGCUUAUUGUCUUAAUUCUGAAAGUUACAAGGCAGUAUAUUUAUACAAUAAUUCUAAUAUAGUAAUAUUCUAAAUUAGGAAAUUAGGAUAUACAAAAAAUAUAAACGUUUCUUUUACAACCUUUUAGGAACCUUAGGAAAUAUCUCAUGUCCCAUGUUGCAAACUAAAUUAUGGAAAUAUUUGCUAUUGAUUCCCUUAAUGAAAAUAUCAAUCAACUGAUUCCAUAAAUCACACAAGCAAUAUCCGAAACUCCACUAUUUAGUUUCUCUUUGAUGAAAUAUUGAUUGAAUUUUUAUGUGUGUUGUUUAAUCAUGCUGAACUAGAUUGUUGGGCAAUGCUAAUGGCAGUCUUAUUAUUGCAGUAUAAGGACACUUUUUUUUUUUUUAAAUCCAGCAAUUCUAGCUCCUGUAUUGAUCUCUGAAUCCAUAGAAGUUCACAAACACCUUGAGCCAUGACUCUGUAUUUAGCCUUUGUACUUGAUCUUGUCACUAUGUUUUGCUUCUUGCUUCUCCAUGUGUCUAGAUUUCCAUUGAAAAAUGUGCAAUAACCCUAUGCAGAUCCACCUUAAUUUGCAUCUAUAUAGCCUUCUACUUUUAGAUGACCAUGUUUGGCAAGCAACAGUCCCUUGGAGCUGAUUUCAGAUAACUUAAGAAAUCCACCGCUUUGGGGAACAGUGAAAUAUCUCUCUAAGAAAAUUCCAAAAGAUACUUCUAGCAAGAAUAAUGGAGACAGCACCGACAUUGCCCGAUUUUGCUUUGUCCCUGAAACCCGACGAGUAUCAACUUCUUUCGGUGGAUUCAUCUUGGAACGAAGAGAAUGUGAAUGGAGGGUAAGCCUAUUCCGACCAAAUCAAGAGUGAAGGCUGUGUGUAAUCUUUGCAGAAAGAAGCUAUACUACAAAAGCCAUCUCAAAAACUUGGAGUGGCCAAUUAAACAGGUGUAUCAUUCUUCAACUGUGUACCAAAGGUCCACUUUAGCCCCACAUUUUUUAAUUAUCACAGUGCAACAAGCAAAGACUGAAGAAGAAAUUUUAUGAUUGAGAUAGUAAAGGUUGAGGUUAUUACCAGAACAAUCAGAUGGAUGAUAAGUAUAGGCUGAGUGUGAAUUGACGCGGUGACUAAUCUAGUGUCAGCUAUUGGUGUUUUUGGGAUCGAUCCUGUAUUGUGACCUUCGAUAUGUGACAUGUGAAGGAACAUCAAAGGGAAAGGAGAUAGCUAGAGAAUAGAAGAGGAAAAGAAAGAGGAAUUCAAGAAAGGUUGUAGAUAAAGUAGAUACGCGGAGUUCAUCAGAGGUCUACAUCAGAUAUCAAGGCUAUUAUCAUAGCUGGUAGUUUUGAGUCUUUGAGUCAUAGUACAAUUAUAUUUUGGCAAGUACAUAUUUAAUAGAGUGAGUUGUAAAGGUUAUGUAAUCAAAGAAUAGUAAGAUAUCAAAU
Molecule: long non-coding RNA, 3020 nt
Organism: Manihot esculenta (cassava)
Lineage: Eukaryota; Viridiplantae; Streptophyta; Magnoliopsida; Malpighiales; Euphorbiaceae
Exons: 7
Source: RefSeq, a predicted model, not a curated record